GCCCGUGUAGCUCAGCGGCAGAGCAGCGCAUUCGUAAUGCGCGGGCCGACGGUUCGAGUCCGUCCAUGGGCU
RNAcentral lists this transfer RNA (72 nucleotides) under Elusimicrobiota bacterium. RNAcentral describes it as "Elusimicrobia bacterium (anaerobic digester metagenome) tRNA-Thr". It matches the Rfam family "tRNA". From Rfam's summary of the family: Transfer RNA (tRNA) molecules are approximately 80 nucleotides in length. Their secondary structure includes four short double-helical elements and three loops (D, anti-codon, and T loops). Further hydrogen bonds mediate the characteristic L-shaped molecular structure. tRNAs have two regions of fundamental functional importance: the anti-codon, which is responsible for specific mRNA codon recognition, and the 3' end, to which the tRNAs corresponding amino acid is attached (by aminoacyl-tRNA synthetases). tRNAs cope with the degeneracy of the genetic code in two manners: having more than one tRNA (with a specific anti-codon) for a particular amino acid; and 'wobble' base-pairing, i.e. permitting non-standard base-pairing at the 3rd anti-codon position. Lineage: Bacteria; Pseudomonadati; Elusimicrobiota. RNAcentral also lists the same sequence under 1 other name. The record is from RNAcentral.